RNAcentral lists this unclassified non-coding RNA (664 nucleotides) under Hevea brasiliensis (rubber tree). The record is from RNAcentral. Lineage: Eukaryota; Viridiplantae; Streptophyta; Magnoliopsida; Malpighiales; Euphorbiaceae.
GGAUUAUGUCUCAGUCUGGCUCUAAUUUUGCUGGUACUCCUGACAGCGACUAUGGCGAUCCGACGAACUUUGAGCUCUCAGAAUUCUUGAAGUUUGAUGAGUGGGAGGAAGAUGAUCAAUCAUUUCUGGCUUCUGGUUCUACCCAGAAUCCUGUUUAUCGAGCACAUGUAAUCGGUGAGUCAGGUGGAGCUACCAGCCCUCAUGGAGGGCCUAGUAUCGGUGAGGGCAGGGAGAAAAAGGAAGUUAAAGAAAGGGUAGCAUUCAAGACAAAAUCAGAUGUUGAGAUACUAGAUGAUGGGUUCAAGUGGAGGAAGUAUGGCAAGAAGAUGGUCAAGAAUAGCCCAAACCCAAGAAAUUACUAUCGAUGCUCAGUUGAAGGCUGCCCUGUGAAGAAGAGAAUAGAAAGAGAUAGAGAGGAUAUAAGAUAUGUAAUAACAACGUAUGAGGGUAUCCACAAUCACCCAAGUUCUUCUUAAGCAUCAGGUUGCUUUCAGUUCAUUAUUGGGUUUCUGGCCAAAGUCCCGCUAUUUAUCAUUUUCUUAAGAUCAUAUGAUAUUAUAAUUAGUCCUUUUUUCUUGUAGGAGAUUACGAUGUGAAGAUUGAACUCAAAACUUUUAUAUGAUAUUAUAUUUGUGUAUCAAUUAAUUAAUAUAUAUACUUCAAU